UGCAAACCUGAAGCUUCAAACUUCCCAUCUCUGAAGAUCCUGCAUCAACUACUUUGCCUGUGAUGAUCUGUAGUAGUAUCACUCCAAACUGGUACACAUCUUCUUUCUCUCUAUCUUCAUUACUGCACAUAGUUGAUUUAACAAGUUUCAGAAUUUGAUAGAAGAGAACACAUUGUAUUAUACUUUAGAGAUAAAACAACAACCUCCAAGGAUGUUUGGCUUGAGGGCUCUCUUCUCCAACCUAUAAAUGCCAUGAAAUGUUCUUAGAUUGAUCAAUUAAAAGAAGAAAGAAAGAAAUUUAGAGGGUUAUUGAACGUAGCAAUUUAAAUGAAUUACUCAAAGAGUUUUAUACCUUGGUUGGUAAAGGAAUAGUAUAUCCACUAAUUUUCACGGUGAGUGUUUCAUCAAGCAUGAUAUUCUCUAUUUUCAGAUUGUUCCCAAAGAUCCCUGGUGCUACUCCCAUGUGCAAGAACUGUAUCCCUCGAGCGACUCCUAUGGCUAUCGCCAUUCUCUGAGGCCAUUUCAGUACUUCUUUCUUCCUAGAGUCUGAUUUCAAAAUUCCUAUAAUGAAUAAGCAUUUGAAUCUAUGGAAACCUGAAUAUUUUUUCUGUCGUUUUCAGGUUAUUACUUGUAAGAAAGUCCCGCAAUGAUCCACUAGAGAUGUAUUCUUGGACAAUGAAGAUGGUGUUUCCAGCGUGUUGAUUGUGGUCUUGGUUACUGGCAAUGCAGUGUCCAAGAACGCUAACCAAAUGCAUAUGCCUUAGCUUCGACAAAACUUCCAUCUGUUGAGUUAAGCUUUGUGGCAAACUCUUCUGCUUCAGCUUGAUACAUCGCACUGUUACUGGUAUACCUUCUCUGAGACAACCUUUGUACAGCUGUUCGAAUACCAAAUAUAUGAAUCAAUCUGGUCACUAGAGACUCAAGUCAUGUAAUUUAUUUUUUUACCUGUUCGCAGAAAAGACUUGCUGCAUCAAAGUCGUUAGUCGCUUCUUCCAGUUCCUCCAAGGAGAAGACGCGGUACGGUGGCAAACCAAUCACUG
RNAcentral lists this long non-coding RNA (1040 nucleotides) under Arabidopsis lyrata. RNAcentral describes it as "long non-coding RNA (ALYR_LNC001528)". Lineage: Eukaryota; Viridiplantae; Streptophyta; Magnoliopsida; Brassicales; Brassicaceae. The record is from RNAcentral.